Molecule: ribosomal RNA, 253 nt
Filed under: uncultured bacterium
Lineage: Bacteria
Description: partial 16S ribosomal RNA
Rfam family: Bacterial small subunit ribosomal RNA
Source: RNAcentral
UACGGGGGGGGCAAGCGUUGUUCGGAAUUACUGGGCGUAAAGGGCUCGUAGGCGGCCAACUAAGUCAUACGUGAAAUCCCUCGGCUUAACCGGGGAACUGCGUCUGAUACUGGAUGGCUUGAGUUCGGGAGAGGGAUGCGGAAUUCCUGGUGUAGCGGUGGAAUGCGCAGAUAUCAGGAGGAACACCGGUGGCGAAGGCGGGUCUCUGGGCAGUAACUGACGCUGAGGAGCGAAAGCGUGGGGAGCGAACAGG